RNAcentral lists this ribosomal RNA (341 nucleotides) under Drosophila fima. Its description in RNAcentral is "28S ribosomal RNA, D2 domain". Lineage: Eukaryota; Metazoa; Arthropoda; Insecta; Diptera; Drosophilidae. The record is from RNAcentral.
CCCGAAGUAUCCUGAAUCUUUCGCAUUGUUAAUCAUACAAGUGCAUAUAAUAAACACAAAAAUCAAUGAUAAUUAUGCCAUUAUAUAAUUCCGAAAAAUUAACGCACUGUAUUCUUAUUAAUCUAUCAGCACUUUAUCAAAUUAAUGACAUUUAUUCUAUGUUAAAAUGCAAGCAUAAUAAUUUGAAUAAACUAUAAGCCAUAUUUUAUGAUAAAUUNAUUGUAUACUAAUAGAUUACAAUGUCCUUAUAUGGAAAAAAUGCACACUAUUAUUAUAAUAUUGUUUAAAUAUAAUAACUUUAAUGAUGAAUUUUCCAUAAUGGAUAUUCAGGUUCAUCGGGC